GGGUUGUGAGGUUAAGCGACUAAGCGUACACGGUGGAUGCCCUGGCAGUCAGAGGCGAUGAAGGACGUGCUAAUCUGCGAUAAGCGUCGGUAAGGUGAUAUGAACCGUUAUAACCGGCGAUUUCCGAAUGGGGAAACCCAGUGUGAUUCGUCACACUAUCAUUAACUGAAUCCAUAGGUUAAUGAGGCGAACCGGGGGAACUGAAACAUCUAAGUACCCCGAGGAAAAGAAAUCAACCGAGAUUCCCCCAGUAGCGGCGAGCGAACGGGGAGCAGCCCAGAGCCUGAAUCAGUGUGUGUGUUAGUGGAAGCGUCUGGAAAGGCGCGCGAUACAGGGUGACAGCCCCGUACACAAAAAUGCACAUGCUGUGAGCUCGAUGAGUAGGGCGGGACACGUGGUAUCCUGUCUGAAUAUGGGGGGACCAUCCUCCAAGGCUAAAUACUCCUGACUGACCGAUAGUGAACCAGUACCGUGAGGGAAAGGCGAAAAGAACCCCGGCGAGGGGAGUGAAAAAGAACCUGAAACCGUGUACGUACAAGCAGUGGGAGCACGCUUAGGCGUGUGACUGCGUACCUUUUGUAUAAUGGGUCAGCGACUUAUAUUCUGUAGCAAGGUUAACCGAAUAGGGGAGCCGAAGGGAAACCGAGUCUUAACUGGGCGUUAAGUUGCAGGGUAUAGACCCGAAACCCGGUGAUCUAGCCAUGGGCAGGUUGAAGGUUGGGUAACACUAACUGGAGGACCGAACCGACUAAUGUUGAAAAAUUAGCGGAUGACUUGUGGCUGGGGGUGAAAGGCCAAUCAAACCGGGAGAUAGCUGGUUCUCCCCGAAAGCUAUUUAGGUAGCGCCUCGUGAAUUCAUCUCCGGGGGUAGAGCACUGUUUCGGCAAGGGGGUCAUCCCGACUUACCAACCCGAUGCAAACUGCGAAUACCGGAGAAUGUUAUCACGGGAGACACACGGCGGGUGCUAACGUCCGUCGUGAAGAGGGAAACAACCCAGACCGCCAGCUAAGGUCCCAAAGUCAUGGUUAAGUGGGAAACGAUGUGGGAAGGCCCAGACAGCCAGGAUGUUGGCUUAGAAGCAGCCAUCAUUUAAAGAAAGCGUAAUAGCUCACUGGUCGAGUCGGCCUGCGCGGAAGAUGUAACGGGGCUAAACCAUGCACCGAAGCUGCGGCAGCGACGCUUAUGCGUUGUUGGGUAGGGGAGCGUUCUGUAAGCCUGUGAAGGUGUGCUGUGAGGCAUGCUGGAGGUAUCAGAAGUGCGAAUGCUGACAUAAGUAACGAUAAAGCGGGUGAAAAGCCCGCUCGCCGGAAGACCAAGGGUUCCUGUCCAACGUUAAUCGGGGCAGGGUGAGUCGACCCCUAAGGCGAGGCCGAAAGGCGUAGUCGAUGGGAAACAGGUUAAUAUUCCUGUACUUGGUGUUACUGCGAAGGGGGGACGGAGAAGGCUAUGUUGGCCGGGCGACGGUUGUCCCGGUUUAAGCGUGUAGGCUGGUUUUCCAGGCAAAUCCGGAAAAUCAAGGCUGAGGCGUGAUGACGAGGCACUACGGUGCUGAAGCAACAAAUGCCCUGCUUCCAGGAAAAGCCUCUAAGCAUCAGGUAACAUCAAAUCGUACCCCAAACCGACACAGGUGGUCAGGUAGAGAAUACCAAGGCGCUUGAGAGAACUCGGGUGAAGGAACUAGGCAAAAUGGUGCCGUAACUUCGGGAGAAGGCACGCUGAUAUGUAGGUGAAGUCCCUCGCGGAUGGAGCUGAAAUCAGUCGAAGAUACCAGCUGGCUGCAACUGUUUAUUAAAAACACAGCACUGUGCAAACACGAAAGUGGACGUAUACGGUGUGACGCCUGCCCGGUGCCGGAAGGUUAAUUGAUGGGGUUAGCGCAAGCGAAGCUCUUGAUCGAAGCCCCGGUAAACGGCGGCCGUAACUAUAACGGUCCUAAGGUAGCGAAAUUCCUUGUCGGGUAAGUUCCGACCUGCACGAAUGGCGUAAUGAUGGCCAGGCUGUCUCCACCCGAGACUCAGUGAAAUUGAACUCGCUGUGAAGAUGCAGUGUACCCGCGGCAAGACGGAAAGACCCCGUGAACCUUUACUAUAGCUUGACACUGAACAUUGAGCCUUGAUGUGUAGGAUAGGUGGGAGGCUUAGAAGUGUGGACGCCAGUCUGCAUGGAGCCGACCUUGAAAUACCACCCUUUAAUGUUUGAUGUUCUAACGUUGACCCGUAAUCCGGGUUGCGGACAGUGUCUGGUGGGUAGUUUGACUGGGGCGGUCUCCUCCUAAAGAGUAACGGAGGAGCACGAAGGUUGGCUAAUCCUGGUCGGACAUCAGGAGGUUAGUGCAAUGGCAUAAGCCAGCUUGACUGCGAGCGUGACGGCGCGAGCAGGUGCGAAAGCAGGUCAUAGUGAUCCGGUGGUUCUGAAUGGAAGGGCCAUCGCUCAACGGAUAAAAGGUACUCCGGGGAUAACAGGCUGAUACCGCCCAAGAGUUCAUAUCGACGGCGGUGUUUGGCACCUCGAUGUCGGCUCAUCACAUCCUGGGGCUGAAGUAGGUCCCAAGGGUAUGGCUGUUCGCCAUUUAAAGUGGUACGCGAGCUGGGUUUAGAACGUCGUGAGACAGUUCGGUCCCUAUCUGCCGUGGGCGCUGGAGAACUGAGGGGGGCUGCUCCUAGUACGAGAGGACCGGAGUGGACGCAUCACUGGUGUUCGGGUUGUCAUGCCAAUGGCACUGCCCGGUAGCUAAAUGCGGAAGAGAUAAGUGCUGAAAGCAUCUAAGCACGAAACUUGCCCCGAGAUGAGUUCUCCCUGACUCCUUGAGAGUCCUGAAGGAACGUUGAAGACGACGACGUUGAUAGGCCGGGUGUGUAAGCGCAGCGAUGCGUUGAGCUAACCGGUACUAAUGAACCGUGAGGCUUAACCUUACAACGCCGAAG
This 2925-nucleotide ribosomal RNA is filed under the name Escherichia coli. Its description in RNAcentral is "partial 23S ribosomal RNA". It matches the Rfam family "Bacterial large subunit ribosomal RNA". Lineage: Bacteria; Pseudomonadati; Pseudomonadota; Gammaproteobacteria; Enterobacterales; Enterobacteriaceae. The record is from RNAcentral.